Molecule: ribosomal RNA, 165 nt
Filed under: Oryza glumipatula
Lineage: Eukaryota; Viridiplantae; Streptophyta; Magnoliopsida; Poales; Poaceae
Description: 5.8S ribosomal RNA
Rfam family: 5.8S ribosomal RNA
About the family: 5.8S ribosomal RNA (5.8S rRNA) is a component of the large subunit of the eukaryotic ribosome. It is transcribed by RNA polymerase I as part of the 45S precursor that also contains 18S and 28S rRNA.
Source: RNAcentral
CGACUCUCGGCAACGGAUAUCUCGGCUCUCGCAUCGAUGAAGAACGUAGCGAAAUGCGAUACCUGGUGUGAAUUGCAGAAUCCCGUGAACCAUCGAGUCUUUGAACGCAAGUUGCGCCCGAGGCCAUCCGGCCGAGGGCACGCCUGCCUGGGCGUCACGCCAAAA